AGAACUGGCAAGGGAGACACCAUGAUCACAAAAGUGGUUUUCCCAGGGUGAGGCUCAUCCAUUGCACUCCAGGUGUGCUGACCCCUGCGAUUUCCCCAAAUGCGGGAAACUCGACUGCGUAAUUUGGAUUAUUUGGAUUGCUGUUUCCACUAGCCCUGA
Small nuclear RNA from Sceloporus undulatus (fence lizard), 159 nucleotides. RefSeq annotates it as U1 spliceosomal RNA. The transcript has a single exon. The record is from RefSeq and is a predicted model, not a curated record. Lineage: Eukaryota; Metazoa; Chordata; Lepidosauria; Squamata; Phrynosomatidae.